Molecule: ribosomal RNA, 469 nt
Filed under: uncultured bacterium
Lineage: Bacteria
Description: bacterial SSU rRNA
Rfam family: Bacterial small subunit ribosomal RNA
Source: RNAcentral
UGCCCAGACUCCUACGGGAGGCAGCAGUGAGGAAUAUUGGUCAAUGGGCGCGAGCCUGAACCAGCCAAGUCGCGUGAGGGAUGACGGCCCUACGGGUUGUAAACCUCUUUUGUCGGGGAGCAAAUUCCGUUACGUGUAACGGAGUCGAGAGUACCCGAAGAAAAAGCAUCGGCUAACUCCGUGCCAGCAGCCGCGGUAAUACGGAGGAUGCGAGCGUUAUCCGGAUUUAUUGGGUUUAAAGGGUGCGUAGGCGGAACAUUAAGUCAGCGGUAAAAUCGAGGGGCUCAACCCCUUUAAGCCGUUGAAACUGGUGAUCUUGAGUGGGCGAGAAGUAUGCGGAAUGCGUGGUGUAGCGGUGAAAUGCAUAGAUAUCACGCAGAACUCCGAUUGCGAAGGCAGCAUACCGGCGCCCGACUGACGCUGAGGCACGAAAGCGUGGGGAUCGAACAGGAUUAGAUACCCUUGUAAC